Molecule: ribosomal RNA, 253 nt
Filed under: uncultured bacterium
Lineage: Bacteria
Description: partial 16S ribosomal RNA
Rfam family: Bacterial small subunit ribosomal RNA
Source: RNAcentral
UACGUAGGGUGCAAGCGUUGUCCGGAAUUAUUGGGCGUAAAGAGCUCGUAGGCGGUUUGUCGCGUCUGCUGUGAAAACCCGAGGCUCAACCUCGGGCCUGCAGUGGGUACGGGCAGACUAGAGUGCGGUAGGGGAGAAUGGAAUUCCUGGUGUAGCGGUGGAAUGCGCAGAUAUCAGGAGGAACACCGGUGGCGAAGGCGGGACUCUGGGCCGAUACUGACGCUGAGGAGCGAAAGCGUGGGGAGCAAACAGG